GCUGGGUGUGGUGGUGCACACCUGUAACCCCAGCAGCUUUGGAGGCUGAGGCAGGAGGAUUGCAAGUUCAAAGCCAGCCUCAGCAACAGCAAGACUCUAAGAAACUCAUUAAGACUCUGUCUCUA
Molecule: small RNA, 125 nt
Filed under: Marmota monax (woodchuck)
Lineage: Eukaryota; Metazoa; Chordata; Mammalia; Rodentia; Sciuridae
Source: RNAcentral